GAUGAAGAACGCAGCGAAAUGCGAUAAGUAAUGCGAAUUGCAGAAUUCAGUGAGUCAUCGAAUCUUUGAACGCACAUUGCGCCCUGUGGUAUUCCGCAGGGCAUGCCUGUCCGAGCGUCAUUGCUGCCCUCAAGCACGGCUUGUGUGUUGGGCCUCCGUCCUCCUCCCGGGGGACGGGCCCGAAAGGCAGCGGCGGCACCGCGUCCGGUCCUCGAGCGUAUGGGGCUUCGUCACCCGCUCUUGUAGGCCCGGCCGGCGCUUGCCGACACAUCAAUCUUUUUUCCAGGUUGACCUCGGAUCAGGUAGGGAUACCCGCUGAACUUAAGCAUAUCAAUAAGCGGAGGA
Molecule: unclassified non-coding RNA, 345 nt
Filed under: soil metagenome
Description: partial contains 5.8S ribosomal RNA, internal transcribed spacer 2, and large subunit ribosomal RNA
Rfam family: 5.8S ribosomal RNA (bases 1-120)
Source: RNAcentral